Molecule: non-coding RNA, 1256 nt
Organism: Elaeis guineensis (African oil palm)
Lineage: Eukaryota; Viridiplantae; Streptophyta; Magnoliopsida; Arecales; Arecaceae
Source: RefSeq, a predicted model, not a curated record
AAACCGAUUACGGAAAGAAGGCAAGGUGCCGUCGGAUGUGACGCGAUUCCCUCCCCAGAAUGAAAGCAAAAGCCAUUCCCCCUCCUCCACUCUCUUCGUUCUUAAAGAGGGCAGCGCCAGGGCAAGGCCAACUCCACUGGUUUCUUUUGUUCUCUCUUUCUACAAUGUCGUCCUCAUCGUCCACUUCUUAUGGGAGUGAGGAGGAGGGGGAGAUAAGCAGCGGCGACCUGACUGCGCUCCAGAAGCACGUCGUCUUCUUCGAUCGGAACAAGGACGGCAUCAUCUAUCCAUGGGAGACCUUCCGAGGGUUCCGUGCGAUUGGGUGCGGCGUUGCCCUCUCCACCGUGAGCGCCGUCGUGAUUAACGGCUUCAUCGGCCCCAAAACUCGCACAGGAAAAAUACCUUCACCCCUUCUCCCUAUUCAUGUAAAGAACAUCCAUAAAGGCAAACAUGGAAGUGAUUCGGGCGUCUAUGAUAAUGAGGGGAGGUUUGUUCCUGAAAAAUUUGAGGAGAUAUUUAAGAAGCAUGCUCAUACCAAUCCUAAUGCAUUGACAUCGAAAGAGUUGAAGGAGAUGCUUCAGGCGAACCGAGUUCCUAAAGACUGCGGGGGAUGGAUUGCUAGCUGGGCAGAAUGGAAGAUCCUAUACGCCCUCUGUAAGGAUAAAGAUGGAUUGCUUCACAAGGAUACCAUGAGAGCUGUCUAUGAUGGAAGCUUAUUUCUUCAGAUGGAGAAGGCCAGGGAGUCUUCUCAAAAGAAAGCAAAGAAAGCAUGAUGGUGGAUUAAUAGGAGAAUGGAUUGUGUGAUAGUCUGAUCUAUGCAAUUUGGAAAAGGAACGACUCUGCUAUGGAUGGUUGGAUUGCCUGUUGAAUGCGCUCCCAUGAGGCCAAGGCAGUUUAAGCUUCCUCUAUAUCAACCCCAAACAGUGCUUAAAUUGCUUUACGGAUACUAGUCUCCAGCAAGGGCCAAAAAACAGAAAAGCAGUGAGCAUAUAAAGAUCUUUCAGCUAUUUUUAAGCUUGUUGCAACUGUUCUAUUUAAGAAAAAUAAAUGAAGAUGGAAAAGAAUAGGAUAGAGAAGGGAAUGGUCUGAUAAGGCAGUGGACCUUGUUUAAUUUCUCAAAGAAAUUUCAAUUGAUUUCUUAAUCCUACAUCAUACAACUUAAUGACCUUUCCCUUAUUACUAAAAAUCAUGUUGAUAUGUUGGUUGAAGGUGAACAAUACCUCAUUCUAAACCCAAGAGAAAUUUAAUCUAAAAGA